CCUACGGGUGGCAGCAGUAGGGAAUAUUGCUCAAUGGGGGAAACCCUGAAGCAGCAACGCCGCGUGGAGGAUGAAGGUUUUCGGAUUGUAAACUCCUUUUGUUAGAGAAGAUAAUGACGGUAUCUAACGAAUAAGCACCGGCUAACUACGUGCCAGCAGCCGCGGUAAUACGGAGGGUGCAAGCGUUACCCGGAAUUACUGGGCGUAAAGAGGGCGUAGGCGGGAUAGCAAGUCAGAUGUGAAAUCCUAGGGCUUAACCAUAGGACUGCAGUUGAAACUGGUAGGCUAGAGUAUGGGAGAGGUAGGUGGAAUUCUUGGUGUAGGGGUGAAAUCCGUAGAGAUCAAGAGGAAUACUGAUUGCGAAGGCGACCUGCUAGAACAUAACUGACGCUGAGGCGCGAAAGCGUGGGGAGCAAACAGGAUUAGAUACCCUUGUAGUC
Molecule: ribosomal RNA, 440 nt
Filed under: uncultured bacterium
Lineage: Bacteria
Description: partial 16S ribosomal RNA
Rfam family: Bacterial small subunit ribosomal RNA
Source: RNAcentral